RNAcentral lists this ribosomal RNA (251 nucleotides) under uncultured bacterium. Its description in RNAcentral is "partial 16S ribosomal RNA". It matches the Rfam family "Bacterial small subunit ribosomal RNA", at positions 524 to 776 of the family's 1533-position model. The record is from RNAcentral.
AACGGAGGGGGCGAGCGUUAUUCAUCCUUAUUGGGCGUAAAGGGUACGUAGGUGAUGAAAAAUUUUUCUGAACAAAUUUCAAAUUUUUUUUUGAAGCAUUUUUAAAAAUGGAUAAAUUGGAGAUAUGUUAGAGGUUGGCGGAAUUACUAAAGUAAAGGUAAAAUCUUACGAUCUUAGUACGAACACCGAAAGCGAAAGCAGCUUUCUCAAGUAUCUGACACUGAGGUACUAAAGCAUGGGAAUCAAACGGG